GUAGGGAAUAUUGGGCAAUGGAGGCAACUCUGACCCAGCCAUGCCGCGUGCAGGAUGACGGCCCUCUGGGUUGUAAACUGCUUUUAUACGGGAAGAAAAAAUACUACGUGUAGUAUACUGACGGUACCGUAAGAAUAAGGAUCGGCUAACUCCGCGCCAGCAGCCGCGGUAAUACGGAGGAUCCAAGCGUUGUCCGGAUUUAUUGGGUUUAAAGGGUGCGUAGGCGGAUCUUUAAGUCAGUGGUGAAAGCCUGCAGCUUAACUGUAGAAUUGCCAUUGAAACUGAAGAUCUUGAAUGUGGUUAAAGUAGGCGGAAUGUAUCAUGUAGCGGUGAAAUGCUUAGAUAUGAUACAGAACACCGAUAGCGAAGGCAGCUUGCUGAACCAUUAUUGACGCUGAGGCACGAAAGCGUGGGGAGCGAACAGGAUUAGAUACCCCGGUAGUCC
RNAcentral lists this ribosomal RNA (445 nucleotides) under uncultured bacterium. Its description in RNAcentral is "partial 16S ribosomal RNA". It matches the Rfam family "Bacterial small subunit ribosomal RNA", at positions 354 to 796 of the family's 1533-position model. The record is from RNAcentral.